AAUGAAUUGCCUGAUAAAAAGGAUUACCUUGAUAGGGUAAAUUAUGUAAUACUCAUUACAUUAAUUA
RNAcentral lists this transfer RNA (67 nucleotides) under Gasterophilus pecorum. RNAcentral's name for it is "tRNA-Ile". The record is from RNAcentral. Lineage: Eukaryota; Metazoa; Arthropoda; Insecta; Diptera; Oestridae.